UCUAUCUAGUAACUAGUCUACCUGCUGUAUCAGUAGUGGUGUGUCCUAUCCAUCUAUCUAGUAACUAGUCUACCUGCUGUAUCAGUAGUGUCCUGACCAUCUAUCUAGUAACUAGUCUACCUGCUGUAUCAGUAGUGUCCUGUCCAUCUAUCUAGUAACUAGUCUACCUGCUGUAUCAGUAGUGGUGUGUCCUGUCCAUCUAUCUAGUAACUAGUCUACCUGCUGUAUCAGUAGUGUCCUGUCCAUCUAUCUAGUAACUAGUCUACCUGGAGAACCUGUUAUCUUUACAACGGGGAUUGAUGUUGCUUUCAAGACAAUUGGGAACUCUAAAAAUAAAAGGCCAAUGACGUCGGUGAUCUUAAUGUCGGGAAAGUCGAAGCUCUAGAAAGAGGCCCGAGUUACCGACUUGGAUAACCAUUCAAAACGAUUUUAAAAUCAGUUGGUGCUCGUUUUUUUUCCGAGUUCCCAGUUGUCUUGAACGCACCGAAUUCUGUUAGUCGAAGAUUUCCGAGUUCUGACUUCCCAGUUGUUUUAAACGCGACACGAGUUAAUGCUCAACGUCAUCAUAGUAAAACAUAUAAUUAAAAACAAAUAAACAUUAUGGCAGUUCGCGUAGCAGAAGAUAUUCACAUCAUGAGUAUAUAUGGCACAGCGAACAGCGAAGCGUUCAGUAGGAUUUGGGCCAGGCAGACAAGCUACUAUAAAUCAAUCUGACUUAUUCAGUCUGCCAGAGACGCCGCCCCGACUCGAUAAAACGCUGGAAUUAGUAGCCUAUUAAAAGAGAACAUUUUGAGUGAGUUUAUGAAUUCCUGAAAGUAAAUCGCCACAGAAACAUCACAGGAGACCCGAGGCCGGUUGGAACACCCAGCUUUCCUAUGAUUUCACGCCGCUUUCGAAGCAUCCGUACCGGGCGAAGCAUUUCCCCCUUUAUGGGUUCUGCAGACGGGGCUUCUGCUAUUAUCAUCAAAACUACUGUGAUUUGUGACGGUGGUGCGUGUGAACUUACAGAAGCAACUAGACAAGUGACACUUCUCUACCCCCGCAUGCAGACUGCUCAAUCGACUUUAACAAGCAAAGAUAUUAGAGUCAAGUUUAUUAUUUCUUUCUCUGGUUUGAUGGACAGACAGUUGUACGUGAAACAGUUCUAUAUGGUUGUCAUAGUGCCUGGAUUUGACCAAUUAAGACUUUAGUAGUGUUUUUUUUUACCAUGUUGUAUUAAUUUAAGGACUACACAGUCUAAAAGUUGUAUGCCAGUUGAUAUACUAGAGAGCCCUUGGACUGUUUGGUAACUAUGGUAACUAAAUAAAACCCACUUUUAAAAUUA
Long non-coding RNA from Salvelinus fontinalis (brook trout), 1324 nucleotides. RefSeq lists it as uncharacterized. The record is from RefSeq and is a predicted model, not a curated record. The transcript is spliced from 2 exons. Lineage: Eukaryota; Metazoa; Chordata; Actinopteri; Salmoniformes; Salmonidae.